AAUUAUGUUUUUAUUUUAUUUUUAAAACUAUGCCUAAAAUUAAAGAAAAACUAUAAACAAAAAUCAUACCCAAAAAGAUGACACCUCAAAAGUCUGCGUACACCUUAAGUUUUCUACGUACAACGCAGGAAUUUGUUAGUUGUUAGUAUCUUGUGGGAUACCCUUUUUGUUUUAACACCUCAGCCAAACGGCGAGGCAUUGAGUCAACCAGCUUUUUAGUGUCCUCUGCAGUGAUU
Molecule: long non-coding RNA, 236 nt
Organism: Drosophila navojoa
Lineage: Eukaryota; Metazoa; Arthropoda; Insecta; Diptera; Drosophilidae
Source: RefSeq, a predicted model, not a curated record